AAUAUAUUUAUAAUGUAUUGAUAACCCUUUGAACUUAAGCANAUCUUUAAAAGGAGGAAAAGAAACUNACUNGGAUUUCUUUAGUAGCAGCGAGUGAACAAGAAAUAACCCUCCAUUGUAAUCCUUAAUUGGAGUUGUNAAUGGUUUAUUCUNUUNAUUAUAUUUAUAGAGAAUAUUAUAUUCGUUAUUAAUAGAAUAGAAUAAUGUACUUGAGUAGAGCUGCUUGGUAGUGCAGUUUGAAUAAAGGNAGAANGAAAUAUCUAAGGUUAAAUAUAAUGGUAUACCGAUAGAAAAUAAGUACUGCGAAGGAACUUGUGAAAAUGNGANNAGNGAAGCC
RNAcentral lists this ribosomal RNA (337 nucleotides) under Vairimorpha sp. The stretch from base 25 to 308 matches the Rfam family "Eukaryotic large subunit ribosomal RNA", at positions 24 to 358 of the family's 3401-position model. Lineage: Eukaryota; Fungi; Microsporidia; Nosematidae. The record is from RNAcentral.